GAUUCACGCCGCGUGAGUGAUGAAGGUUUUCGGAUCGUAAAACUCUGUUGUUAGGGAAGAACAAGUGCAUAGUAACUGAUGGCACCUUGACGGUACCUAACCAGAAAGCCACGGCUAACUACGUGCCAGCAGCCGCGGUAAUACGUAGGUGGCAAGCGUUGUCCGGAAUUAUUGGGCGUAAAGCGCUCGCAGGCGGUUCUUUAAGUCUGAUGUGAAAUCUUACGGCUCAACCGUAAACGUGCAUUGGAAACUGGGGAACUUGAGUGCAGAAGAGGAGAGUGGAAUUCCACGUGUAGCGGUGAAAUGCGUAGAGAUGUGGAGGAACACCAGUGGCGAAGGCGACUCUCUGGUCUGUAACUGACGCUGAGGAGCGAAAGCGU
This 380-nucleotide ribosomal RNA is filed under the name uncultured bacterium. RNAcentral's name for it is "bacterial SSU rRNA". It matches the Rfam family "Bacterial small subunit ribosomal RNA", at positions 389 to 762 of the family's 1533-position model. The record is from RNAcentral.